GACGAACGCUGGCGGCGUGCUUAACACAUGCAAGUCGAACGGAAAGGCCUGCAGCUUGCUGCGGGUACUCGAGUGGCGAACGGGUGAGUAACACGUGGGUGAUCUGCCUUGCACUUCGGGAUAAGCUUGGGAAACUGGGUCUAAUACCGGAUAGGACAGCUGUUUAGUGUCAGUUGUGGAAAGUUUUUUCGGUGCAAGAUGAGCUCGCGGCCUAUCAGCUUGUUGGUGGGGUAAUGGCCUACCAAGGCGUCGACGGGUAGCCGGCCCGAGAGGGUGUACGGCCACAUUGGGACUGAGAUACGGCCCAGACUCCUACGGGAGGCAGCAGUGGGGAAUAUUGCACAAUGGGCGGAAGCCUGAUGCAGCGACGCCGCGUGGGGGAUGAAGGCCUUCGGGUUGUAAACUCCUUUCGACAGGGACGAAGCUUUUGUGACGGUACCUGUAUAAGAAGCACCGGCUAACUACGUG
Molecule: ribosomal RNA, 468 nt
Filed under: uncultured bacterium
Lineage: Bacteria
Description: partial 16S ribosomal RNA
Rfam family: Bacterial small subunit ribosomal RNA
Source: RNAcentral